Molecule: ribosomal RNA, 223 nt
Filed under: uncultured prokaryote
Description: partial 16S ribosomal RNA
Rfam family: Bacterial small subunit ribosomal RNA
Source: RNAcentral
ACGGAGGGUGCGAGCGUUGUUCGGAAUCACUGGGCGUAAAGUGCGUGUAGGCGGCCCCUUAAGUCUGGUGUGAAAGCCCGGGGCUUACCCCCGGAAGGGCACUGGAGACUGGGAGGCUUGAGUACCGGAGAGGAGGGUGGAAUUCCUGGUGUAGCGGUGAAAUGCGUAGAUAUCAGGAGGAACACCGGUGGCGAAGGCGGCCCUCUGGACGGCUACUGACGCU